RNAcentral lists this long non-coding RNA (480 nucleotides) under Mus pahari (shrew mouse). RNAcentral's name for it is "predicted gene 16191 (MGP_PahariEiJ_G0003094.1)". The record is from RNAcentral. Lineage: Eukaryota; Metazoa; Chordata; Mammalia; Rodentia; Muridae.
GUCUAACCGAAGGGAAGGUGGCCCGACCAGGGCUCAGGUCUGCGUACUAGAGACCUGGCUCCUUCCAGCUCUGCAGAGCAGAGGAUCUGGGGCCCAGGUAGACCAGUCUCUUAGUGAAGUUGGUUCUUAAUGAAGAUCUAGAUACAGCAAAUGGUUGUUCCAUAAAAAUCUCAGCAGCAUCUGGCCUCUCACAAACACCAGCGCCACAAAAGGAGCCAGCGCAUCUCCGACUUCCUGCGCAAGAUGCUGUGUGGAAAGAAACGCAGUUUUGUGCGUUAAGAUGGUAAUUUGGGGCUGGGGAGAUGUCUCUGCAGGGAAAGGCGCUUGCCUGCCUGGAAGCCAACCAACCCUCGUGAGCUGGUGGGAGAAAACCAACUCCUGCAAGUUAGCCUCGGACCUCCACCUUCGGAGAUUUCCUUCUCUCCCACCCUGCCCCCCACCGAGCCACCCCCUCCCUAGUCUCUAAUGUAAAUAAGAAGU